This 252-nucleotide ribosomal RNA is filed under the name uncultured bacterium. RNAcentral's name for it is "partial 16S ribosomal RNA". It matches the Rfam family "Bacterial small subunit ribosomal RNA", at positions 524 to 776 of the family's 1533-position model. The record is from RNAcentral.
UACGUAGGGGGCGAGCGUUAUCCGGAUUCAUUGGGCGUAAAGCGCGCGUAGGCGGCCGCCUAAGCGGAACCUCUAAUCCCGGGGCUCAACCUCGGGCCGGGUUCCGGACUGGGCGGCUCGAGUGGGCGAGAAGAAGGCGGAAUGCGUGGUGUAGCGGUGAAAUGCAUAGAUAUCACGCAGAACCCCGAUUGCGAAGGCAGCCUUCCGGCGCCCUACUGACGCUGAGGCACGAAAGUGCGGGGAUCGAACAGG